AUUUGGAUUAGGAUUUGGCUAGGGUUUGGAUUAGGGUUUGGAUUAGGGUUUAGGAUUUGGUUAGGAUUUGAUUUAGGAUUUGGAUUAGGAUUUGGUUAAGAUUUGAUUUAAGAUUUGGUUUAGGGUUUAGAAUUAGAUUAGGGUUUGAUUUAGGGUUUGGUUUAGGGUUUAGGGUUUGGAAUAGGGUUUAAUUUAAGAUUUAUUUAGGAUUUGACUUAGGAUUUAGGAAUUAUUAGGAUUUAAGAUUUAAUUAGGUUUGGUCUAAAGUUGAGUGAAAUUCAAUAGGGUUUUAACUAGAAUUAAAUUAAGGUUGAAUUGACAUAUAUUUGAGUAAAAUUUGUGAUCAUUCUAAUAUUUCUUUAAGAGCUUUAUUGUUUGUUUGAAAUUUCUUUGAGUUUUUUUGAAUUGGAUUACGUUUGUUUACCAUUAUUAUAGUCUAAUUAGAGCAUUGUUAGUAUUCUAUUUAGGAUU
RNAcentral lists this long non-coding RNA (471 nucleotides) under Physcomitrium patens. RNAcentral describes it as "long non-coding RNA (PPAT_LNC013549)". Lineage: Eukaryota; Viridiplantae; Streptophyta; Bryopsida; Funariales; Funariaceae. The record is from RNAcentral.